RNAcentral lists this ribosomal RNA (492 nucleotides) under uncultured bacterium. RNAcentral's name for it is "partial 16S ribosomal RNA". It matches the Rfam family "Bacterial small subunit ribosomal RNA", at positions 29 to 507 of the family's 1533-position model. The record is from RNAcentral.
AGUGAACGCUGGCGGUAGGCCUAACACAUGCAAGUCGAACGGCAGCACAGUAAGAGCUUGCUCUUACGGGUGGCGAGUGGCGGACGGGUGAGGAAUACAUCGUAAUCUACUUUUUCGUGGGGGAUAACGUAGGGAAACUUACGCUAAUACCGCAUACGACCUACGGGUGAAAGCAGGGGAUCUUCGGACCUUGCGCGAUUGAAUGAGCCGAUGUCGGAUUAGCUAGUUGGCGGGGUAAAGGCCCACCAAGUCGACGAUCCGUAGCUGGUCUGAGAGGAUGAUCAGCCACACUGGAACUGAGACACGGUCCAGACUCCUACGGGAGGCAGCAGUGGGGAAUAUUGGACAAUGGGCGCAAGCCUGAUCCAGCCAUACCGCGUGGGUGAAGAAGGCCUUCGGGUUGUAAAGCCCUUUUGUUGGGAAAGAAAAGCAGCAGGUUAAUACCCCGCUGUUCUGACGGUACCCAAAGAAUAAGCACCGGCUAACUUCGUG